CGCGAGGGGAGCGGCAGACGGGUGAGUAACGCGUGGGAACAUACCCUCCGGUUCGGAAUAACUCAGGGAAACUUGAGCUAAUACCGGAUACGGCUGAGAGGCGAAAGAUUUAUCGCCGGAGGAUUGGCCCGCGUCCGAUUAGCUAGUUGGUGUGGUAAUGGCGCACCAAGGCGACGAUCGGUAGCUGGUCUGAGAGGAUGAUCAGCCACAUUGGGACUGAGACACGGCCCAAACUCCUACGGGAGGCAGCAGUGGGGAAUAUUGGACAAUGGGCGCAAGCCUGAUCCAGCCAUGCCGCGUGAGUGAUGACGGCCUUAGGG
Molecule: ribosomal RNA, 320 nt
Filed under: uncultured bacterium
Lineage: Bacteria
Description: bacterial SSU rRNA
Rfam family: Bacterial small subunit ribosomal RNA
Source: RNAcentral